This is a long non-coding RNA of Herpailurus yagouaroundi (jaguarundi), 138 nucleotides long. RefSeq lists it as uncharacterized. The record is from RefSeq and is a predicted model, not a curated record. Lineage: Eukaryota; Metazoa; Chordata; Mammalia; Carnivora; Felidae. The transcript is spliced from 3 exons.
GCCACGCUUGCUAACUUCUUUACUUGAGCAGUCCAUAGCUCCUCAAAAAGGCCGAGCCGCUCUGCCAACCACUGUGGAGGGGCUGGCACAGCUGCCUGGAGAGAAAGAUGUUAGGAGCACACUUUUGAAAUCCAGUCA